GACGAACGCUGGCGGCGUGCCUAAUACAUGCAAGUAGAACGCUGAAGGAGGAGCUUGCUCUUCUGGAUGAGUUGCGAACGGGUGAGUAACGCGUAGGUAACCUGCCUGGUAGCGGGGGAUAACCAUUGGAAACGAUAGCUAAUACCGCAUAACAUUGACUAUUGCAUGAUAGUCAAUUGAAAGGUGCAAUUGCACCACUACCUGAUGGACCUGCGUUGUAUUAGCUAGUUGGUGGGGUAACGGCUCACCAAGGCGACGAUACAUAGCCGACCUGAGAGGGUGAUCGGCCACACUGGGACUGAGACACGGCCCAGACUCCUACGGGAGGCAGCAGUAGGGAAUCUUCGGCAAUGGACGGAAGUCUGACCGAGCAACGCCGCGUGAGUGAAGAAGGUUUUCGGAUCGUAAAGCUCUGUUGUAAGAGAAGCUCGAGUGUAGAAGUGAA
Molecule: ribosomal RNA, 445 nt
Filed under: Streptococcus cristatus
Lineage: Bacteria; Bacillati; Bacillota; Bacilli; Lactobacillales; Streptococcaceae
Description: bacterial SSU rRNA
Rfam family: Bacterial small subunit ribosomal RNA
Source: RNAcentral